This 48-nucleotide transfer RNA is filed under the name Gallus gallus murghi. RNAcentral's name for it is "partial tRNA-Phe". Lineage: Eukaryota; Metazoa; Chordata; Aves; Galliformes; Phasianidae. The record is from RNAcentral.
GCCCCCAUAGCUUAACCCACAAAGCAUGGCACUGAAGAUGCCAAGAUG